UACGGGGGGGUAAGCGUGUUCGGAAUUACUGGGCGUAAAGGGCUCGUAGGCGGCCAACUAAGUCGGACGUGAAAUCCCUCAGCUUAACUGGGGAACUGCGUCCCGAUACUGGAUGGCUUGGAUUUGGGAGAGGGAUGCGGAAUUCCAGGUGUAGCGGUGAAAUGCGUAGAUAUCUGGAGGAACACCGGUGGCGAAGGCGGCAUCCUGGACCAAUAUUGACGCUGAGGAGCGAAAGCCAGGGGAGCAAACGGG
RNAcentral lists this ribosomal RNA (252 nucleotides) under uncultured bacterium. RNAcentral's name for it is "partial 16S ribosomal RNA". It matches the Rfam family "Bacterial small subunit ribosomal RNA", at positions 524 to 776 of the family's 1533-position model. The record is from RNAcentral.